GAUGAACGCUGGCGGCGUGCCUAAUACAUGCAAGUCGAGCGAACGGACGAGAAGCUUGCUUCUCUGAUGUUAGCGGCGGACGGGUGAGUAACACGUGGAUAACCUACCUAUAAGACUGGGAUAACUUCGGGAAACCGGAGCUAAUACCGGAUAAUAUUUUGAACCGCAUGGUUCAAAAGUAAAAGACGGUCUUGCUGUCACUUAUAGAUGGAUCCGCGCUGCAUUAGCUAGUUGGUAAGGUAACGGCUUACCAAGGCAACGAUGCAUAGCCGACCUGAGAGGGUGAUCGGCCACACUGGAACUGAGACACGGUCCAGACUCCUACGGGAGGCAGCAGUAGGGAAUCUUCCGCAAAGGGCGAAAGCCUGACGGAGCAACGCCGCGUGAGUGAUGAAGGUCUUCGGAUCGUAAAACUCUGUUAUUAGGGAAGAACAUAUGUGUAAGUAACUGUGCACAUCCUGACGGUACCUAAUCAGAAAGCCACGGCUAACUACGUG
This 497-nucleotide ribosomal RNA is filed under the name uncultured bacterium. RNAcentral's name for it is "partial 16S ribosomal RNA". It matches the Rfam family "Bacterial small subunit ribosomal RNA", at positions 28 to 507 of the family's 1533-position model. The record is from RNAcentral.